GAUGAAGAACGCAGCGAAAUGCGAUAAGUAAUGUGAAUUGCAGAAUUCAGUGAAUCAUCGAAUCUUUGAACGCACAUUGCGCCCGCCAGUAUUCUGGCGGGCAUGCCUGUUCGAGCGUCAUUUCAACCAUCAAGCCCCCGGCUUGUGUUGGGGACCUGCGGCUGCCGCAGGCCCUGAAAACCAGUGGCGGGCUCGCUAGUCACUCCGAGCGUAGUAAUACAUCUCGCUCAGGGCGUGCUGCGGGUUCCGGCCGUUAAAAAAGCCUUAUUUACCCAAGGUUGACCUCGGAUCAGGUAGGAAGACCCGCUGAACUUAAGCAUAUCAAUAACGGAGGA
This 335-nucleotide unclassified non-coding RNA is filed under the name soil metagenome. RNAcentral's name for it is "partial contains 5.8S ribosomal RNA, internal transcribed spacer 2, and large subunit ribosomal RNA". The stretch from base 1 to 120 matches the Rfam family "5.8S ribosomal RNA", at positions 35 to 154 of the family's 154-position model. The record is from RNAcentral.